RNAcentral lists this ribosomal RNA (1256 nucleotides) under uncultured Acinetobacter sp. RNAcentral describes it as "bacterial SSU rRNA". It matches the Rfam family "Bacterial small subunit ribosomal RNA", at positions 77 to 1328 of the family's 1533-position model. Lineage: Bacteria; Pseudomonadati; Pseudomonadota; Gammaproteobacteria; Moraxellales; Moraxellaceae. The record is from RNAcentral.
AGCUUGCUACCUGACCUAGCGGCGGACGGGUGAGUAAUGCUUAGGAAUCUGCCUAUUAGUGGGGGACAACAUUCCGAAAGGAAUGCUAAUACCGCAUACGCCCUACGGGGGAAAGCAGGGGAUCUUCGGACCUUGCGCUAAUAGAUGAGCCUAAGUCAGAUUAGCUAGUUGGUGGGGUAAAGGCCUACCAAGGCGACGAUCUGUAGCGGGUCUGAGAGGAUGAUCCGCCACACUGGGACUGAGACACGGCCCAGACUCCUACGUGAGGCAGCAGUGGGGAAUAUUGGACAAUGGGCGAAAGCCUGAUCCAGCCAUGCCGCGUGUGUGAAGAAGGCCUUUUGGUUGUAAAGCACUUUAAGCGAGGAGGAGGCUACUUGGAUUAAUACUCUAGGAUAGUGGACGUUACUCGCAGAAUAAGCACCGGCUAACUCUGUGCCAGCAGCCGCGGUAAUACAGAGGGUGCGAGCGUUAAUCGGAUUUACUGGGCGUAAAGCGUGCGUAGGCGGCUUUUUAAGUCGGAUGUGAAAUCCCUGAGCUUAACUUAGGAAUUGCAUUCGAUACUGGGAAGCUAGAGUAUGGGAGAGGAUGGUAGAAUUCCAGGUGUAGCGGUGAAAUGCGUAGAGAUCUGGAGGAAUACCGAUGGCGAAGGCAGCCAUCUGGCCUAAUACUGACGCUGAGGUACGAAAGCAUGGGGAGCAAACAGGAUUAGAUACCCUGGUAGUCCAUGCCGUAAACGAUGUCUACUAGCCGUUGGGGCCUUUGAGGCUUUAGUGGCGCAGCUAACGCGAUAAGUAGACCGCCUGGGGAGUACGGUCGCAAGACUAAAACUCAAAUGAAUUGACGGGGGCCCGCACAAGCGGUGGAGCAUGUGGUUUAAUUCGAUGCAACGCGAAGAACCUUACCUGGUCUUGACAUAGUAAGAACUUUCCAGAGAUGGAUUGGUGCCUUCGGGAACUUACAUACAGGUGCUGCAUGGCUGUCGUCAGCUCGUGUCGUGAGAUGUUGGGUUAAGUCCCGCAACGAGCGCAACCCUUUUCCUUAUUUGCCAGCGGGUUAAGCCGGGAACUUUAAGGAUACUGCCGGUGACAAACUGGAGGAAGGCGGGGACGACGUCAAGUCAUCAUGGCCCUUACGACCAGGGCUACACACGUGCUACAAUGGUCGGUACAAAGGGUUGCUACCUAGCGAUAGGAUGCUAAUCUCAAAAAGCCGAUCGUAGUCCGGAUUGGAGUCUGCAACUCGACUCCAUGAAGUCG